AACGUAACAAGGUUUCCGUAGGUGAACCUGCGGAAGGAUCAUUG
RNAcentral lists this ribosomal RNA (44 nucleotides) under Geranium palmatum. Its description in RNAcentral is "partial 18S ribosomal RNA". It matches the Rfam family "Eukaryotic small subunit ribosomal RNA". Lineage: Eukaryota; Viridiplantae; Streptophyta; Magnoliopsida; Geraniales; Geraniaceae. RNAcentral also lists the same sequence under 1 other name. The record is from RNAcentral.